AGCGAACGCUGGCGGCAGGCCUAACACAUGCAAGUCGAACGACCCUUUCGGGGUUAGUGGCGGACGGGUGAGUAACACGUGGGAACGUGCCUUUAGGUUCGGAAUAACUCAGGGAAACUUGUGCUAAUACCGAAUGUGCCCUUCGGGGGAAAGAUUUAUCGCAUUUAGAGCGGCCCGCGUCUGAUUAGCUAGUUGGUUGAGGUAAUGGCUCACCAAGGCGACGAUCAGUAGCUGGUCUGAGAGGAUGAUCAGCCACAUUGGGACUGAGACACGGCCCAAACUCCUACGGGAGGCAGCAGUGGGGAAUCUUGCGCAAUGGGCGAAAGCCUGACGCAGCCAUGCCGCGUGAAUGAUGAAGGUCUUAGGAUUGUAAAAUUCUUUCACCGGGGACGAUAAUGACGGUACCCGGAGAAGAAGCCCCGGCUAACUUCGUG
Molecule: ribosomal RNA, 434 nt
Filed under: uncultured bacterium
Lineage: Bacteria
Description: partial 16S ribosomal RNA
Rfam family: Bacterial small subunit ribosomal RNA
Source: RNAcentral